Tupaia belangeri chinensis (Chinese tree shrew) is the source of this 3273-nucleotide RNA transcript. It is a transcript of the gene named ring finger protein 149, with no coding region annotated. The record is from RefSeq and is a predicted model, not a curated record. The transcript is spliced from 12 exons. NCBI's taxonomy places the organism in Eukaryota, Metazoa, Chordata, Mammalia, Scandentia, Tupaiidae.
CCAUCAGCCUCAGUCCUCCCGCGAGCCGCGGAGGGCGUCUUCUUUUAGCUCCGCGGCUGCCGGCCUCAAACGCGCGCGCUUCGCUCCUCGGCUCCCGGCUCACGCCCCGACCCUUCCUUGUCAACCCCGCGCUACUGCCAUGGCGUGGCUACGGCGGCCUGAGGCCGGCGUCGGGGCCCGCGGCGUGCUGGCGCUCCUGGCCCUAGCUCUGUACGUGCCCGCGGCCCGGGUCCGGGCGCUCUUUUUUUUCACCCGGUACGGGGACCCGCAGACGAACCUGACCGUGUGGAGUGUCGCGGAGAGCGGCCGCUUCAGCGACAGCUCGCCCAAGCGCAGCGCGGAGGGCCUGGUGGGCGUCCCGCGCGCGCCGGGCAGCAACCCCGAGGGCUGCGCCCCGGACACGCGCUUCCUCGUGCCCGGCAGCCGUGGGGGCGCGCCCUGGAUCGCCCUGGUGGCACGCGGGGGCUGCACCUUCAAGGACAAGGUGUUGGUGGCGGCGCGGAGAAACGCCUCGGCGGUGGUGGUCUACAACGAGGAGCAAUACGGGAACAUCACCACGCCCUUGUCCCACGGGGGAAUAGGAAAUAUAGUGGUCAUUAUGGUUAGCUACCCAAAAGGAAGAGAAAUUUUGGAUCUGGUGGUAAGAGGGAUUCCAGUCCAGAUGACCAUCGGGAUUGGCACCCACCACGUGCAGGAGUUCAUCAGUGGCCAGUCCGUGGUGUUCGUAGCCAUUGCCUUUAUCACCAUGAUGAUUAUAUCAUUAGCCUGGCUAAUAUUUUACUAUAUACAGCGUUUCCUGUAUACCGGCUCACAGUUUGGAAGUCAGAGCCAUAGAAAAGAAACUAAGAAAGCUAUUGGCCAGCUUCCACUUCAUACUGUAAAGCACGGAGAGAAGGGAAUUGAUGUCGAUGCUGAAAAUUGUGCAGUGUGUAUUGAAAAUUUUAAAGUAAAGGAUAUUAUCAGAAUUCUGCCAUGCAAGCAUAUUUUUCAUAGAAUAUGCAUUGACCCAUGGCUUUUGGAUCACCGAACGUGUCCAAUGUGUAAACUUGAUGUCAUCAAAGCCCUGGGAUAUUGGGGGGAGCCUGAAGAUGUGCAAGACAUGCCCGCUCCAGAACCUCCCCCUGGAAGUGUUUCGGUUGGAAAUCUUAGUGUGACACUGCAAGAUGAAGACAGAAGUGAUGGGCGCAACUCACCAUCGUCUUCAACUGAUGAGUCUGUGCCCCAGCGUGACGCCAGCCUUAAAGAAGAUGCAGGCGAAAACACAGCGUUGCUAGAAGCCGGCAGGAGCGACCCUCAGCGUGGAGGACCCGCCUCCUAGCACGCAUCCUAGUCCCACCGACUGACUGCAUCGCCGACAGCUCUGGCUUGAACUAAAGGACAUUUUAUUUUUUUAACUUUAGCACUAUAUAGUUUGUAUAUUUGAAAAUAAUGUACAUUAUUUUACCUACCAGAUUCUGAUUUGGUAUACAAAGGGCUAAGAUAUUUUAUGCUUAAAGAGAUUUUUUGAUCAGUCUUCAUAUAUUUAUCUACUAAAAUAGAAUGUUUAUGAUAAACUGUGUGUUGUUUCAGUUACAAGGACCAUGACUAGGGAAACCAUGCCGGUGUAAAGGACGAUGGUGCUGUGCACACCACACCAGCUCCUGCACGACUGCAAAAACAGGAUGAGUUCUGCUUUCAAGGUCAGGGAGCCUGCGCUGUGCAUUUUGUGAGGGGACUAAAUGCAGGCACCCUGCUCGCUCUCACUUGCUGGUGUUGGACAUCAAAGAAUAUAGACAGCGUCUGUUAACAGACCAUAAUGCCCAUGGUCUCUGCAGUUCACCUUCUGUGGUUCAGUGUGAACAGGAAAUAUGUCCUUGAUUCUAUUCCAAGUGGCAGCAUGAAAGAAGCUGAGUGUCCGUGACCAUGCUGCCUGACCCUGCCUUCCUGUCUGGCUUCUUCACUUCUCAGUGUGCAGACUGAUGGUCCAGGCUUCCCCGCGGAAAACCACCAAGGGCCAGAGAGGUGCAACAACGUGGCGCCAUUUGGCAGGUGAUUUGAAGAUAUAUCAAAGCUAGAAACUGGAUCUAGGAAUUCAAGUAAACACCAGUACUUGUGGAUGAUGAGAGUACGUGGUUCGGAAUUAACAUACUGAAACUUGUAACCCACAAACCAUCAAGUGCAGCACUUCUGCAGUCAUUUCCAGACAUCGCAGAAGUGAAGUCUGAGUUGCUGUAUGCACCUAUCCCCAACUGAGGUUACAGGUGGGGACAUUCUGCCUUGUUUCAGCUCUCACUGCAAACAAGUGUCUUUUUCACAGUGUGUUUAGUGCCAUGUUUUGUAUUUGCAUAUUUUUUUGUUGGCAAAGUGGUUUGAAAUGGCCCACAGGUGUCAUGAAGAGCCAUCUGCUGUUCUGAGCUCAACAAGGUUGUGCUGUGCCUUAGACAAAACGUGUGUCAGAUAAUUGUCAUUCAGCAUGAGUUGUUAUGCCAGCAAAUAGUGGGUCCCAGUCAUUUACCAUGGAGCAAACUUCUUUAACCAAUGCUAACAUGUCAAACAGUGAUGCCACUUUUAGGCACUGAGAAAUCAGUCUUGCUGCAAUCAUUUUAGCUGUCUGAAGACAGUCCCCCAUUCUCUAGGUGUUAAGCCAUUAUCUCCUCUAUAUGAAACAUGCUGAUUUUUGCAAACCCUUAGUUUAAUAAGAGCAGCUAAAGCACACAGUGUUACAAAUCUAGGAGUACUGCGUUACAAGGUUGGUACUUGUAUUCAUUUUUAAAUCACUAGGUUUGGUUUAACUUUUGCUAGGCAUUAGACUGGAGGGUAAUUCAUGUUGAACAAGACUAUUUCCUUAUAAACAUGCUUUGGAAGUGCCUCAGUAAAAGGAUUUUUCAUGAUUUCUUCAAGUAAAAGAUACAUCAGAUAAUGGAGUUGGUAAGAAAACUUUAAUAGGAGGCACUGUUGUCCAAAAUAACAUGGGAGGUGAGAGCCCACUCAGCCACCCUGCUCGCCUGCUUCUCAAAAGCACAUCUACCCUCCACAGAUGGGAAGUGGAGACCCCUCAGCAGGCACUGUACAGGCCAGUUCCCAGUGGUGACACAGCCUCCCAAAGCACUGACUGAUAAAAGCUGUCUCAGACCAAGAACAGAAGACCAUCUCAAGAAAAAAAAGAGGUGAUGAUCCCAGCCAUCACAGCCCCAAAAAAGGUUUCUAAGAGUUCUCAUGUUUAUAAGCGGCCCCAAAAUGUAUGUAUUCUGUUGUCUGUGAAGUCCCCACCCCAAGGAUAAAGUUGCUUUACAA